This 292-nucleotide transfer-messenger RNA is filed under the name Rhodopila sp. RNAcentral describes it as "partial transfer-messenger RNA". It matches the Rfam family "Alphaproteobacteria transfer-messenger RNA". Rfam says of the family: Bacterial tmRNA, also known as 10Sa RNA or SsrA, is named for its dual tRNA and mRNA-like properties. Its role is to liberate the mRNA from a stalled ribosome. To accomplish this part of the tmRNA is used as a reading frame that ends in a translation stop signal. Lineage: Bacteria; Pseudomonadati; Pseudomonadota; Alphaproteobacteria; Acetobacterales; Acetobacteraceae. The record is from RNAcentral.
GGGCUUGAAUGACGGGGGCAAGCAGCCUACAUCUGGCCCUGCCAGCUUGCUGGCUAUGGCGAUAAACGGUGCGUGGAAUAAUCGUUGUGGACCCGGGGGCAGUGCCCGGCGCCUCCACCAUUCAUCCCAGGAUAUCGGGACAUCUGGGGGCGAAACAGGCUCGACACGCGUGGUAAAGACCCAUCUUUUGCUCGGCAUUGUACCGCCGUUAUCGGGCUAUAUUAUAAAUGCGAACGAUAACAACGUAGCAUUCGCGGUCGCUGCCUAAACAGCAGCUAAGCGCGGUUCGGGG